AGUGAACGCUGGCGGUAGGCCUAACACAUGCAAGUCGAACGGCAGCACAGUAAGAGCUUGCUCUUACGGGUGGCGAGUGGCGGACGGGUGAGGAAUACAUCGGAAUCUACUUUUUCGUGGGGGAUAACGUAGGGAAACUUACGCUAAUACCGCAUACGACCUACGGGUGAAAGCAGGGGAUCUUCGGACCUUGCGCGAUUGAAUGAGCCGAUGUCGGAUUAGCUAGUUGGCGGGGUAAAGGCCCACCAAGGCGACGAUCCGUAGCUGGUCUGAGAGGAUGAUCAGCCACACUGGAACUGAGACACGGUCCAGACUCCUACGGGAGGCAGCAGUGGGGAAUAUUGGACAAUGGGCGCAAGCCUGAUCCAGCCAUACCGCGUGAGUGAAGAAGGCCUUCGGGUUGUAAAGCCCUGUUGUUGGGAAAGAAAAGCAGCAGGUUAAUACCCCGCUGUUCUGACGGUACCCAAAGAAAAAGCACCGGCUAACUUCGUG
This 492-nucleotide ribosomal RNA is filed under the name uncultured bacterium. Its description in RNAcentral is "partial 16S ribosomal RNA". It matches the Rfam family "Bacterial small subunit ribosomal RNA", at positions 29 to 507 of the family's 1533-position model. The record is from RNAcentral.